UCUCAGUACAAGCCAAAUUAAGGUGAAACCGCGAAAGGCUCAUUAAAUCAGUUAUGGUUCCUUAGAUCGUACCCACAUUUACUUGGAUAACUGUGGUAAUUCUAGAGCUAAUACAUGCAAACAGGGCUCCGACCGGAGACGGAAGGAGCGCUUUUAUUAGAUCAAAACCAAUCGGUGGCGGGUCCGCUCGUCAUCGUAUAACUUGGUGACUCUGAAUAACUUUAGGCUGAUCGCACGGUCUAGCACCGGCGACGCAUCUUUCAAAUGUCUGCCUUAUCAACUGUCGAUGGUAGGUUCUGCGCCUACCAUGGUCGUAACGGGUAACGGGGAAUCAGGGUUCGAUUCCGGAGAGGGAGCCUGAGAAACGGCUACCACAUCCAAGGAAGGCAGCAGGCGCGCAAAUUACCCACUCCCGGCACGGGGAGGUAGUGACGAAAAAUAACGAUACGGGACUCAUCCGAGGCCCCGUAAUCGGAAUGAGUACACUCUAAACCCUUUAACGAGGAUCAAUUGGAGGGCAAGUCUGGUGCCAGCAGCCGCGGUAAUUCCAGCUCCAAUAGCGUAUAUUAAAGUUGUUGCGGUUAAAAAGCUCGUAGUCGAAUUUGUGUCCCGCGCCGCCGGUUCAUCGUCCGCGGUGUCAACUGGCGUGUCGCGGGACGUCCUGCCGGUGGGCUUAGCUCUUCGGGGCGGCCCAACUCAAUCCCGCCGCGGUGCUCUUCACUGAGUGUCGAGGUGGGCCGGCACGUUUACUUUGAACAAAUUAGAGUGCUUAAAGCAGGCUAAAACUUCGCCUGAAUACUGUGUGCAUGGAAUAAUGGAAUAGGACCUCGGUUCUAUUUUGUUGGUUUUCGGAACCCCGAGGUAAUGAUUAAUAGGAACGGAUGGGGGCAUUCGUAUUGCGA
RNAcentral lists this ribosomal RNA (902 nucleotides) under Parapylus bicinctus. RNAcentral's name for it is "SSU rRNA". It matches the Rfam family "Eukaryotic small subunit ribosomal RNA", at positions 58 to 902 of the family's 1831-position model. Lineage: Eukaryota; Metazoa; Arthropoda; Insecta; Coleoptera; Cleridae. The record is from RNAcentral.